UACGAACCGUGCGAACGUUAUUCGGAAUCACUGGGCUUAAAGCGCGUGUAGGCGGGAGGGCACGUCCGUUGCUGAAAUCCCCCGGCUCAACCGGGGAACGGGCGCGGAUACGACUCUCCUUGAGGGGCGUAGGGGGACCUGGAACUUCCGGUGGAGCGGUGAAAUGCGUUGAGAUCGGAAGGAACGCCCGUGGCGAAAGCGAGGUCCUGGACGCCUACUGACGCUGAGACGCGAAAGCCAGGGGAGCGAACGGG
RNAcentral lists this ribosomal RNA (254 nucleotides) under uncultured bacterium. RNAcentral's name for it is "partial 16S ribosomal RNA". It matches the Rfam family "Bacterial small subunit ribosomal RNA", at positions 524 to 776 of the family's 1533-position model. The record is from RNAcentral.